CCGGGUGAGUAACACGUAUCCAACCUGCCGUCUACUCUUGGCCAGCCUUCUGAAGGAAGAUUAAUCCAGGAUGGCAUCAUGAGUUCACAUGUCCGCAUGAUUAAAGGUAUUUUCCGGUAGACGAUGGGGAUGCGUUCCAUUAGAUAGUAGGCGGGGUAACGGCCCACCUAGUCAACGAUGGAUAGGGGCUCUGAGAGGAAGGUCCCCCACAUUGGAACUGAGACACGGUCCAA
This 233-nucleotide ribosomal RNA is filed under the name uncultured bacterium. RNAcentral describes it as "partial 16S ribosomal RNA". It matches the Rfam family "Bacterial small subunit ribosomal RNA", at positions 103 to 334 of the family's 1533-position model. The record is from RNAcentral.